ACUCCUACGGGAGGCAGCAGGAGGAAACAUCCCGCAAUGGACGCAAGUCUAACGGAGUGAUACUACAUGAAGGAUGAAGGUCUAAGGAUUGUAAACUUCUUUACUAGUAAGUACUGCUUUCGGGCUUGCUUGCUAGCAACAAGUCACGACUAACUAUGUGCCAGCAGCCGCGGUAAU
This 177-nucleotide ribosomal RNA is filed under the name uncultured bacterium. RNAcentral's name for it is "partial 16S ribosomal RNA". It matches the Rfam family "Bacterial small subunit ribosomal RNA", at positions 335 to 524 of the family's 1533-position model. The record is from RNAcentral.